Molecule: long non-coding RNA, 2024 nt
Organism: Numida meleagris (helmeted guineafowl)
Lineage: Eukaryota; Metazoa; Chordata; Aves; Galliformes; Numididae
Source: Ensembl
AUGGUUUUAAGCAGCAGCACUCAUUUUUCCAAAGGAAACAGAAGGGCCACAUGCAUCACUCCCAAUGCUGGGCUGCCUUGGCUGACACCAAACCCACUGCCCUGGCGCCUCCUCUGGGACAAGCAUCGCUGCUCCAUGUCUGGUCUUGAGCUCUGCCUUCAUAUCUUGGUUACAAAGAACACAUUAAGGCUGCCGAGAGGACGGCCUUCUUUGCUUAAGGGUCUGAGGACAGCCUGUCUCUGGCAUGGAAAAAUCCAGAAUAUACAUCCAUCCAAAUGCAAGAAUGUGGGAGUUUGUGUAUUCAGGCCUUCACUCCACCAAAGGCUCCUUCACACAGGGUGUCUUCUAUGCUUUGGAGAUCCAGAUGGUGUAAUUUCUUCUCCUUCUCUGAACCUGGCCAGGACAGAGGGCUGGAUGAGAAUCAGCUGGCAGGCCACCUGGCAGAGGGAUGCGAGGAGACAGGCGAGAGGAGCAGCCUGAGGUGCAGCAACAGGCUGCAACUGCACGGCCAUGGCCUAACAGCACCUACCUUUGCCAAUGCGGUUGGCUGUUUUCAAGAAUUUCCAGAAUCCGUCAGCUCAGUUCCCACAUGAUGAAUUUUCCAGACAGUGUCUUCCAGAGCAGUGCCUCGAGUAAGAGGCUGGACCCUGAUGUUUCUCAGUCUUGCUCCAGGUUGGCCUAGUGCAAGGUGCAUGCCUGGUGCGGCCUAGGGGCUGUGCAGAGGGCAUGGCCAGCACCUCUCUGUGCUGCCUAAUCUAUAUCAUCACCCUCAUUCUCAGAUUUGGGCAGCUCCUGGUAACAAUUUGAAGCACUCUGAGCUGAGCCUGGGACCUGGAAAGAAACAGAGCAGGCUGACAUUCAAAUCUGUCAUUUCUGUAUAGCCUGGAUUUGGCAACACCAUUGCAUUUCAUUUUUUGUGUUUGUUUGUUUGUUUGUUUAAAUUGCCUCACUUUUUUCUUGAGGAAGAAAACAAGAAUGAUAUGAAGUGCCCGGAAGCUCAGAAUUUUUGCUUAAAUGUUCUCAAAAGUACAUUGAAUUGAUUUUUCAUAUUUAUAGAGAUUUUAACUAAGGAAAACAAACAUCUGAAAUCCAACAAAAUACUACUUUUGAUGUGAUAUAUAGAUAUCUGUAGUUUAUACAGCUACGAAGUUAGGCUUUUCUGACCUUCCAGGAAUCAUGAAUACAUAGGCAUUCACAUGAGAAGGCGAUGAUGAUGUACAGCACAAUGAAGGCGGGCUGCUGAGAUAGUGAUCAACAGAAAGAUCCUGCAUGAGGGUAUAGUUGUAUUUUCUAGCUUACAUACUCUUAUUUGACUAAAUUCAUAUCUAAACUAGCCUGAAGCAGAUGGGGUGAUUAUCUUCUGUCAGUGCAGAUUUCCCAGAGACAUGAGUACAGCAUUUCAUAUCAGAGCAACACCUCCAAUCUGUACUUUUUUCCUGGUGGCCCACUUCAGUUUACCUUCUGAGGGCAGGUGUUUUAGAUCACACUUCUAAUUUAUUACUGAUGAGUAGUAGCUAGAUUGGAUCAAUGUAUGAAGUUUGCUGCAGCGGGGCUUAACAAGGCAGUACAAGGCAAUGUAUUUAUUCAAUUUAUAGUGAUGGAAACAAGCACAGUAACUACAGGCUUAUUCUGACUAUAAAUGACAUGUAUUUGUCACUUGCAGUACUGAGGGAACCUGAGCAACAGGAAACCUGUGUUUACCAGCAUUUUUAGCUUGCUUCAUGCAUCACUGAUUGUGGAAAUGAAACACAUCAAAAAAAGAUGAGAGCUCUACCAUCAGAUUCACCGGAGCUCUAACAUGCUGAGAGAUGUUCCUGUGGGAAGUUCCCAUCCGCCUUUACCUCGCAGAGAUACAGGAGCUUAUCCACCCACAACAGCCACAAAGACAGAACUGUUUUCAAGAUAUAAAUGCUUUCCUGAGUAUUAGAUCCUAGUAGAGAUGUUCUUGGUCCAAAGAUUUUAGAAUUUGGGAUGUUCCAUCUCCUCUACUGCAAUCUGAAUAAAUUACUUCAGUUUUCUAUGCA